This is a long non-coding RNA of Bombyx mori (domestic silkworm), 2742 nucleotides long. RefSeq lists it as uncharacterized. The record is from RefSeq and is a predicted model, not a curated record. The transcript has 3 exons. NCBI's taxonomy places the organism in Eukaryota, Metazoa, Arthropoda, Insecta, Lepidoptera, Bombycidae.
ACUUGUGACGGAAAGUUCACACAAACUAAGACGCAUUCAUCAAACAUUAGAAGCGGAGACAAACGUUUUGUACAUUUGGUAAAGGGUUGAAUUAAAUUAUUUAGAAAUAUCCCAUAUUAAUACGCUUUUAUUAGCUUCAGACGUAUGUAUGUAUGUUUGUAACGGGAUCUUUGAACAUAAUUUUGACCCGCUUCAAAACGUCGUAUUAACUCGGAAUUAACGCUUUUUUUUAGAAUAAAAUCGUUUUUUCUUACCGUAUUUUUAAUUCAAAUUUUACUAAAAUUUAAUUUUCUAUUUUUUAGUUGGAGAUUCAAUAAAAGAGUAUUUUGUUAGUUUUUUUAAACUAUUAUUUAUUUUACAGAGUUCGCUUAUUUCCAAAAUCGGUCAUUAAUAAAAGUGUAUUGUUUCUUUCGAACGUUGAAAGUAAUUAAUAUAAAAUUAUAUUUAAAAAAAAAACAUUAUAUAUUUAUGUUAAGUUAUGUGAUUUCUAAAAGGUAAAUAAUACAGUUAAAUUUGUUUUACCUAAAAAUUCUGAAUUAGAUAUUCAACAACCAAAUGAAUUUCUAAUUCAGAAUACAUAUUUAGGUAAAACAAUAUUAUACUUAGGAUACAGAAAUCACGAAGAUGCUGCAGUUCGUAAGAUUAUAUCGACACAUUACAAAAAUUAAUGACCCGAUGAAUUCUAAAUCUGGGGGCGUUUUAAUGAUGAAAUAACAAUAAUUCUACAAUAAUGUUUCGAUCUACAUUUAAUAGUCUGUCGAAUGAUGUUACGUAAUAAUCGUGUUGUUUUUCGAAAUGACGUAAUCUCACAACGUUCGAAAGUUUCGAUCUAAUUUCACACAUGUGCAUUCUGUUCGCGUGUCGUUCCUAUACUUUGCGUAAUACGAAAAGAUGACAUUAUUUUUAGUGACGUAACAAUUUGUUACCACAUUUCAAGUGUUGCGAAGAAGAACGUUCGGAAUUACAAUUACACGUUUUCAAUUUAUCAUUACGAUAAUACUAUCACUGCUUAUAAGUAGAAUUGUUAUCGAAAUAGAACAUUAUAUCAAUUUUAUGCGACGUAACAAUCUAAAUUUUUUUUUUUUUUUUUAUUGCCCUUGUAGGCAGACGAGCAUACGGCCCCCCUGAUGGUGAGUGGUUACCGUCGCCCAUGGACUAUAUAUUAAUUUAUCGCAAUAAAACUAAUAUUUGAUAGAAUAUGAAAUUGAAACAACUCGUUAGGUAUGUGCUCCAAGUAAAUUAAAUAUGACAUGCGUCAGUUGCGUAACGACGAUAUAUUUUAUAAAUAUCGUCAUUAAAUUUGAUAAGAGAUAGAAGAUAAUAAUUGAAAUCGACAACGGAUGCUUCUGCCCUACGAUUGUUAUAAUCGUCAACGAUGUUGUAGCUUAAGUAAUAACACCGCGCAUAUCAAAUACAGUUUACAAACGUCUUCAGUAAAGACAAAAAACACAUAUUUGUUACUCUAUAUUUAGCAAUUUAUGGGAGACAUCACAUACUCGUAGAUACAGACGUCUAACAAAAUCCUCCAGCUAUACAAGUUCAGUGUUUUGUCUGCGCUGAAAACAAUCUCAAGCACCGGUCAUCGUUCUCGUCGAACCCGUUGCUUGCGACGAAGGGCUCGACGAGUAAAUUAACCUUCAGACACACCUCACUGAGUUUCUCGCCGGACCUUCUCAGUGGGUCGCGUUUCCGAUCCGGUGGUAGAUUCUGCGAAGCACGGCUCUUGCUAGGGUUCGAGUUAGCAACGUCGUUGGUUUGGUUUGAGCCCCGUGAGCUCACCUACUAGUUAAGGUUACGCUGAAAUAGCCUCUAAAGGCUCUCAACUUAGGUAGGAAAAAAAAAAAGCUGAAAACGAAAAAAAAAUUGACGAGCACGGUGUUGUAAGAUAUUAUAUGUACAAUUUAUAUUACAUUCAAUAAAAAGUGCUUAGCGAGUAUCAAAAAUAAUGAUAUGAAAGUUUCGCGACAAAUGCCGCCUUAAAAUACCACUAGUGAAUUUAAAACAUUUCCUUUGUAGAUUUAACAUACAUUCCAAAGAUAAGUUUAGCAGAAGAACGAGAGCAUUUUUUUUUUUUUAUAUUUAUAUAUUUACCUAACUAAUGAUGACCGACACAAGUGUUGGUUUCUUAUCUGAAGCGCGUCACAGAACGGCCGGUAGCAAACGGGAUGCUUGUUCUGAUAAUGCCCGCAAUAAAGCUUAACAUAAACAGUGAUGUUCAUAUUAAAAUAUUCGCUCGCGUUCGAUGUACUGAAAUUGGUUUAUGUAAAUCUCUUCUUUCUUUCCCUAAGCUGAGAGCCUUGAGAGGCUAUAUCAGCGUAACUUUAACUAGUAGGUGAGAUCGCGGGGCUCAAAUCUGACGACGUUGCUAACACGAACCCUAGCUAGAGCCGUGCUUCGCAGAAUCUACCUCCGGAUCGGAAACGCGACCCACUGAAAAGAUCCGGCGAGAAACUCAGUGGCUUUAAUGGAAUCUACCACCGAAUCCGAAACGCGACCCACUGAGAAGAUUCGGCGAGAAACUCAGUGCGCUGUGUUUGUGGGUUAAUUUACUCGCCGAGCCCUUCGUCGCAAGCGACGGGUUCGACGAGAACGAUGACCGGAAUUAUUAAUACUUCACAUUCGCCGUACCAGAUUCAUACGAGAGGUGUUUGGAGAUGAGGAACCGAGAAAUGACAUAAAGAUCCCAAAGGCCGAACAGUUGGCUAAGUGUCUGCCCAAGCUUUCAAAAUCCAAGAUAACAGU